This 458-nucleotide ribosomal RNA is filed under the name uncultured bacterium. RNAcentral's name for it is "bacterial SSU rRNA". It matches the Rfam family "Bacterial small subunit ribosomal RNA", at positions 30 to 504 of the family's 1533-position model. The record is from RNAcentral.
UGAACGCUGGCGGCGUGCCUAAUACAUGCAAGUCGAACGGGAAGACCAAUUUCGAUUGGUUGGAGAGUGGCGCACGGGUGAGUAACACGUAGCUAACCUGCCCUGAAGACCGGGAUAACGCCUCGAAAGGGGUGCUAAUACCGGAUAAGCUCACGUUAAGUAGGUAGAUGUGAGAAAAAGUUCAGGCGCUUUGGGAGGGGGCUGCGGCCCAUCAGGUAGUUGGUAGGGUAACGGCCUACCAAGCCGAUGACGGGUAGGGGACCUGAGAGGGUGACCCCCCACACUGGGACUGAGACACGGCCCAGACUCCUACGGGAGGCAGCAGUAAGGAAUAUUGCACAAUGGGCGCAAGCCUGAUGCAGCGACGCCGCGUGGGUGAAGAAGGUUUUCGGAUCGUAAAGCCCUUUUCUGCGUGACGAGGAAGGACGGUAGCGCAGGAAUAAGUCGCGGCUAACUAC